Hydra vulgaris (swiftwater hydra) is the source of this 501-nucleotide long non-coding RNA. RefSeq lists it as uncharacterized. The record is from RefSeq and is a predicted model, not a curated record. Lineage: Eukaryota; Metazoa; Cnidaria; Hydrozoa; Anthoathecata; Hydridae.
UACAAAAUGAUUGAGACGUAACAUAACUAUAAAAUGUUAUCGGGGUCAAAGUAAUUCCAGAAGGCAUUAGUGGAUUUUGAGAUGAUGAAAAUCAUUGACUCUUUAAAGUUCAUUUUUUGGAUAACUACAACGUCAGUAUUUUUGGAUAACUACAACGUCAGUAUUUUUGGAUAACUACAACAACAAAUCACAUUAAACGAAAGCAUGUCAGACGCCGUUAGGCAAGCAGCUUCGGUAAUAUUAGAUUGGGUUGAACUUUUCACCUUCACAUUAUACAUUGAAAACAUGUGUGUGAAGUCCUUUUGUUGAACUACCUCUGAUUUUUAAAAUCUUCUUGCAGUUUGGCACAACACUGUCUGGCUUUUUUCAUCCCGCAGAAAAUAUUUCCAAGCAGCUGAGUUACUUUUAAUUGUAAAAUUUACAAACGUCAUACUUAUUUAAUUUAUAAUUUUAAGAGUCUAACAUUAUUUUUUUCAGUUUGAAUGUUUAUUUUUUAGAAUU